GCCUGAGUGGCUCAGUCGGUUAAGCGUCUGACUUCGGUUCAGGUAGUGAUCUCACGGUCUGUGGGUUCGAGCCCCACGUCAGGCU
This 85-nucleotide transfer RNA is filed under the name Felis catus (domestic cat). It matches the Rfam family "tRNA". Rfam says of the family: Transfer RNA (tRNA) molecules are approximately 80 nucleotides in length. Their secondary structure includes four short double-helical elements and three loops (D, anti-codon, and T loops). Further hydrogen bonds mediate the characteristic L-shaped molecular structure. tRNAs have two regions of fundamental functional importance: the anti-codon, which is responsible for specific mRNA codon recognition, and the 3' end, to which the tRNAs corresponding amino acid is attached (by aminoacyl-tRNA synthetases). tRNAs cope with the degeneracy of the genetic code in two manners: having more than one tRNA (with a specific anti-codon) for a particular amino acid; and 'wobble' base-pairing, i.e. permitting non-standard base-pairing at the 3rd anti-codon position. The record is from Rfam by way of RNAcentral. Lineage: Eukaryota; Metazoa; Chordata; Mammalia; Carnivora; Felidae.